Molecule: ribosomal RNA, 449 nt
Filed under: uncultured bacterium
Lineage: Bacteria
Description: partial 16S ribosomal RNA
Rfam family: Bacterial small subunit ribosomal RNA
Source: RNAcentral
AACGAACGCUGGCGGCAUGCCUAACACAUGCAAGUCGAACGAAGCCUUCGGGCUUAGUGGCGCACGGGUGCGUAACGCGUGGGAAUCUGCCCUUUGGUUCGGAAUAACAGUUGGAAACGACUGCUAAUAUCGGAUGAUGACGAAAGUCCAAAGAUUUAUCGCCAGAGGAUGAGCCCGCGUAGGAUUAGCUAGUUGGUGUGGUAAAGGCGCACCAAGGCGACGAUCCUUAGCUGGUCUGAGAGGAUGAUCAGCCACACUGGGACUGAGACACGGCCCAGACUCCCACGGGAGGCAGGAAUGGGGAAUAUUGGAAAAAGGGCGAAAGGCUGAUCCAGCAAAGCCGCGUGAGUGAUGAAGGCCCUAGGGUUGUAAAGCUCUUUUGCCCGGGAUGAUAAUGACAGUACCGGGAGAAUAAGCCCCGGCUAACUCCGUGCCAGCCGCCGCCGUAA